CCUACGGGCGGCUGCAGUGGGGAAUAUUGGACAAUGGGCGAAAGCCUGAUCCAGCCAUGCCGCGUGUGUGAAGAAGGCCUUCGGGUUGUAAAGCACUUUCAGUGGGGAAGAAAGCCUUGGGGCUAAUACCCUCGAGGAAGGACAUCACCCACAGAAGAAGCACCGGCUAACUCCGUGCCAGCAGCCGCGGUAAUACGGAGGGUGCGAGCGUUAAUCGGAAUUACUGGGCGUAAAGCGCGCGUAGGCGGUCUGAUAAGCCGGUUGUGAAAGCCCCGGGCUCAACCUGGGAACGGCAUCCGGAACUGUCAGGCUAGAGUGCAGGAGAGGAAGGUAGAAGUCCCGGUGUAGCGGUGAAAUGCGUAGAGAUCGGGAGGAAUACCAGUGGCGAAGGCGGCCUUCUGGACUGACACUGACGCUGAGGUGCGAAAGCGUGGGUAGCAAACAGGAUUAGAUACCCCAGUAGUC
Molecule: ribosomal RNA, 465 nt
Filed under: Vreelandella stevensii
Lineage: Bacteria; Pseudomonadati; Pseudomonadota; Gammaproteobacteria; Oceanospirillales; Halomonadaceae
Description: partial 16S ribosomal RNA
Rfam family: Bacterial small subunit ribosomal RNA
Source: RNAcentral